RNAcentral lists this ribosomal RNA (450 nucleotides) under uncultured Glomeromycotina. RNAcentral describes it as "SSU rRNA". It matches the Rfam family "Eukaryotic small subunit ribosomal RNA", at positions 569 to 1023 of the family's 1831-position model. Lineage: Eukaryota; Fungi; Glomeromycota. The record is from RNAcentral.
AGCAGCCGCGGUAAUUCCAGCUCCAAUAGCGUAUAUUAAAGUUGUUGCAGUUAAAAAGCUCGUAGUUGAAUUUCGGGGUCAGCAGGUUGGUCGUGCCAAUGGUAUGCACUGGCCUUGCUGAUUCCUCCCUCUUGAUGAGCCGUAAUGCCAUUAAUUUGGUGUUGCGGGGAAUCAGGACUGUUACUUUGAAAAAAUUAGAGUGUUUAGAGCAGGCAAGCGCUUGAAUACAUUAGCAUGGAAUAAUGAAAUAGGACGUUUGAUCCUAUUUUGUUGGUUUCUAGGAUUGACGUAAUGAUUAAUAGGGAUAGUUGGGGGCAUUAGUAUUCAAUUGUCAGAGGUGAAAUUCUUGGAUUUAUUGAAGACUAACUACUGCGAAAGCAUUUGCCAAGGAUGUUUUCAUUAAUCAAGAACGAAAGUUAGGGGAUCGAAGACGAUCAGAUACCGUCGUAG